RNAcentral lists this long non-coding RNA (471 nucleotides) under Solanum tuberosum (potato). RNAcentral's name for it is "long non-coding RNA (STUB_LNC000678)". The record is from RNAcentral. Lineage: Eukaryota; Viridiplantae; Streptophyta; Magnoliopsida; Solanales; Solanaceae.
UUAGAUUGAGCAGCUGUCGUGAGUGAUCAAUAAGCUUUGUAUUUUAGUUAAUCAAGUUGAAAAACCUAAACAAGCUCUUGAUAAACAAGGACAUGAAACAGUUUUGAAAUCUGUACCAACUACAAGCUGUUGAUUGAGAUUUACUUGUGCCGUCGGAACUCAAAUGUUCUGGCAUAAAAUAUAGUGGAACUGAAGUUGUAAAGGCUAUUAAUAUUGCUGCUAUACUGAAAAUUUGGGCAGCAAUCAAUCAGCAGCAUAAACGGGAUGGUGUUACACCUCUGGCUAAGUGAAUUCGCACAACCAGUACGACUUUUCCUACUCAUACGGGGCUGCAACAUUUCAAAACACCCUAUCAAUUUUCAUCUCUAUGACAAAACAAGGGAAGAUUAUGAGGUUUUACAAACUGAAUUUCCUUUUCCUCUUCCUAAAAUGAAAUACAAUUGUGCUUAUAAACCUGAAAGCAAUAUUACA